GAGAAACCUAGGAAAGAAAAGAGAAUCCCUGGACCAAUUAUGUUCAGAGUUACACUUGUCACCAAAGCCAAUGAGCUUACGCAGGUGUAAAUAGAAACAGAAAUUGUCCCGCUUUAGCCAUUAAACAUGUUUCAUGGCUUAAACAUGGCUUUAAGUUUUGGCCAAAAUGGAAUUGUGUUGUAACUAGGUUCCUACAUGGUUGUAUUUAAGGACCUGUCUAUAUCAUAAAUUUAACCUUGUCAGGGAACCUGAUUACAAUAUAAUUGUCUCCCAAAUUAUAAACAUUGGUUGAGCAGAUAAGGUAGCGAUUAUUUUGUAAACGGGGUCCAAUUUAUACUACAAAUUGAAGCCUUACUUGCAACCAAGUUAGGGGAUAACCAUUGUAACCAGGUUCUCUGAUAGGCUUGUAUUUGUAUUGUAGACAUGCCCUUAAAUGGCAAUGCACUAAUCAUGAUAUUUAAAUACUUUAUUAUGUUGUAUGAAAUGGAGUUCAUACCUCCUUGAAGCGAAUGGUUUGGGGAAGAGGUGAAUUAUAGAGCUGGUUGUGAAUUUUUCAACUAAAGGAUUUUCCCUCAGAAAAUGCUGAUUUGUCAAAAGGUUUGUUUUGUCAGGAAAGUUUACCUUUCAAUAAAAAGGUGUCUGAGACCCAAGCUGGAAUUAAGAGACAGACCCACUCACCCUAGACUUGUCAAUAGACUAGUGCUCAGGGCACUCACUUAGGAUGUGGGAGACUUAAAUUCAAGUCCCUGUGCUCUCUGAUUUAGAACACAGGGCAGACCCACAUUCAAGUCAGUGUCCUAAGCACCAAGCUAUUGAAGAUUCUAGGGUAGGUCUCUCUUCCUGGCUUUUAACAAAAAUAUUGAAAGAAAGAAAACAAGUUCUGAAACAUCAACAUUUUUCAUGAAAUGAAAAUCUUGUUUUCUGGCCAGCCCUAGUGAAGUGAUAUUUUCUUUUUAGAUAUACACAGUUUAAGCUACGCUGAGUUAAAGAGGGCAAUCAGCCAUUGGUUUGCAUUGUAGUGAAAGAGACUCACUUUUGAGCUUACAUAGAGCUCUUCAAAUUUGCAUUGCAAAGUCUGUAUCUGUCAAUUGCUGUCUGCAGGUGGGAGCAUACUAUGAACAAAGGAGAAUAAAAGAAGCAAGUGUUACUGUAUCUCACUGGGAUUUAACAAGCAAUUUUAUGGUAUUGGGUUCAUCCAGCCCUCUUUAUUUCUGAGGCAGAGAUUUGGGGCCAGAUCCGCAGCUGAUGUAAAAUGACAGAUCCAAUUGACUUCAGGCUGAGGAUCUGCCCAUUGAGCCUUAGGUACUGUCCACCUUUUCCUCCUUGUCUUUUCCCUCCUUUGAAUCUUUAGCGGACUCUCUCACUAGAAAAAAGAGCAUUGCUUCAAUUUUUCCUUCAGCUUGUUGGGCAUGCAUCCAGGGGCUCCCAAAGCAGCUCUCAACACCAUGGAUCAGCCUGCAAAGGGCAUUACAAAAGAGAUGUGUAUCCUGUAUUGCUCCACCUUCAAUGCAAGAUAGGCCCGAGGAAUGGGGUCCUGCAAUGGAAGACUUAAAUUGGAUCUUCGGUGUAUGUACUGCAAUAGCAACAUGGUAUGAGACUACCCCUGCUUUUUAUUUAAGAUGUCUUAUAACCAAAACUUUAAAAAGCAACAAAGAGUCCUGUGGCACCUUAUAGACUAAC
Malaclemys terrapin pileata is the source of this 1680-nucleotide long non-coding RNA. RefSeq lists it as uncharacterized. The record is from RefSeq and is a predicted model, not a curated record. The transcript is spliced from 3 exons. Lineage: Eukaryota; Metazoa; Chordata; Testudines; Emydidae.